GAUGAACGCUGGCGGCGUGCCUAACACAUGCAAGUCGAGCGACUCUCUUCGGAGAAGAGCGGCGGACGGGUGAGUAACGCGUGGGUAACCUGCCCUGUACACACGGAUAACAUACCGAAAGGUAUGCUAAUACGAGAUAAUAUGCUUUUAUCGCAUGGUAGAAGUAUCAAAGCUUUUGCGGUACAGGAUGGACCCGCGUCUGAUUAGCUAGUUGGUAAGGUAACGGCUUACCAAGGCGACGAUCAGUAGCCGACCUGAGAGGGUGAUCGGCCACAUUGGAACUGAGACACGGUCCAAACUCCUACGGGAGGCAGCAGUGGGGAAUAUUGCACAAUGGGCGAAAGCCUGAUGCAGCAACGCCGCGUGAGCGAUGAAGGCCUUCGGGUCGUAAAGCUCUGUCCUCAAGGAGGAUAAUGACGGUACUUGAGGAGGAAGCCCCGGCUAACUACGUGCCAGCCGCCGCCGUAA
RNAcentral lists this ribosomal RNA (468 nucleotides) under uncultured bacterium. Its description in RNAcentral is "partial 16S ribosomal RNA". It matches the Rfam family "Bacterial small subunit ribosomal RNA", at positions 28 to 523 of the family's 1533-position model. The record is from RNAcentral.